GACGAACGCUGGCGGUGUGCUUAACACAUGCAAGUCGAACGGUAAGGCCCUUUCGGGGGUACACGAGUGGCGAACGGGUGAGUAACACGUGAGUAACCUGCCCUCAUCUCUGGGAUAACAGUCGGAAACGGUUGCUAAUACUGGAUAUGAGCUUGCAAGGCAUCUUGUGGGUUGGAAAGAUUUUUUUUGGUUGGGGAUGGACUCGCGGCCUAUCAGCUUGUUGGUGAGGUAGUGGCUCACCAAGGCUUCGACGGGUAGCCGGCCUGAGAGGGCGACCGGCCACAUUGGGACUGAGAUACGGCCCAAACUCCUACGGGAGGCAGCAGUGGGGAAUAUUGCACAAUGGACGGAAGUCUGAUGCAGCAACGCCGCGUGCGGGAUGACGGCCUUCGGGUUGUAAACCGCUUUCAAUUGUGACGAAGCUUUUUUGUGACGGUAGCAGUAGAAGAAGCACCGGCUAACUACGUG
This 468-nucleotide ribosomal RNA is filed under the name uncultured bacterium. RNAcentral describes it as "partial 16S ribosomal RNA". It matches the Rfam family "Bacterial small subunit ribosomal RNA", at positions 28 to 507 of the family's 1533-position model. The record is from RNAcentral.